RNAcentral lists this ribosomal RNA (338 nucleotides) under uncultured bacterium. RNAcentral's name for it is "bacterial SSU rRNA". It matches the Rfam family "Bacterial small subunit ribosomal RNA", at positions 1 to 334 of the family's 1533-position model. The record is from RNAcentral.
CUAGCGACUUCAGAGUUUGAUCCUGGCUCAGGAUGAACGCUGGCGGCGUGCAUAACACAUUCAAGUCGAACGGUGAUAGAGACUUCGGUCUCUUGAUCAGUGGCGGACGGGUGAGUAACGCGUGAGUAACCUGCCUAUCUGAGUGGAAUAACACAGGGAAACUUGUGCUAAUACCGCAUAACAUGUAGAUUUCGCAUGUGAUCUACAUCAAAGAGCAAUCGCAGAUAGAUGGACUCGCGUCUGAUUAGCUAGUUGGUGAGGUAACGGCUCACCAAGGCGACGAUCAGUAGCCGAACUGAGAGGUUGAACGGCCACAUUGGAACUGAGAAACGGUCCAG